GAGCGGCAAAAGCUCAAAUUUGAAAUCUGGUACCUUCGGUGCCCGAGUUGUAAUUUGGAGAGGGCAACUUUGGGGCCGUUCCUUGUCUAUGUUCCUUGGAACAGGACGUCAUAGAGGGUGAGAAUCCCGUGUGGCGAGGAGUGCGGUUCUUUGUAAAGUGCCUUCGAAGAGUCGAGUUGUUUGGGAAUGCAGCUCUAAGUGGGUGGUAAAUUCCAUCUAAAGCUAAAUAUUGGCGAGAGACCGAUAGCGAACAAGUACAGUGAUGGAAAGAUGAAAAGAACUUUGAAAAGAGAGUGAAAAAGUACGUGAAAUUGUUGAAAGGGAAGGGCAUUUGAUCAGACAUGGUGUUUUGUGCCCUCUGCUCCUUGUGGGUAGGGGAAUCUCGCAUUUCACUGGGCCAGCAUCAGUUUUGGUGGCAGGAUAAAUCCAUAGGAAUGUAGCUUGCCUCGGUAAGUAUUAUAGCCUGUGGGAAUACUGCCAGCUGGGACUGAGGACUGCGACGUAAGUCAAGGAUGCUGGCAUAAUGGUUAUAUGCCGCCCGUCUUGAAACACGGACA
RNAcentral lists this ribosomal RNA (557 nucleotides) under Saccharomyces cerevisiae (brewer's yeast). Its description in RNAcentral is "partial large subunit ribosomal RNA". It matches the Rfam family "Eukaryotic large subunit ribosomal RNA", at positions 96 to 667 of the family's 3401-position model. The record is from RNAcentral. Lineage: Eukaryota; Fungi; Ascomycota; Saccharomycetes; Saccharomycetales; Saccharomycetaceae.